CAGCAUGGGCGUGAACUUAAACGCUCUGGGUGAUGGAGCAGAAGUCAGCAGAGGUCGUAGUAGCCAAACGCUCAUCGUAAUGGGUGGGAUAGGGUGAAGGAC
Oscillatoriales cyanobacterium is the source of this 102-nucleotide non-coding RNA. NCBI's taxonomy places the organism in Bacteria, Bacillati, Cyanobacteriota, Cyanophyceae, Oscillatoriales. The record is from Rfam.